This 207-nucleotide ribosomal RNA is filed under the name uncultured bacterium. RNAcentral's name for it is "partial 16S ribosomal RNA". It matches the Rfam family "Bacterial small subunit ribosomal RNA", at positions 568 to 774 of the family's 1533-position model. The record is from RNAcentral.
UGCGUAGGCGGGUCUUUAAGUCAGGGGUGAAAUCCUGGAGCUCAACUCCAGAACUGCCUUUGAUACUGAAGAUCUUGAGUUCGGGAGAGGUGAGUGGAACUGCGAGUGUAGAGGUGAAAUUCGUAGAUAUUCGCAAGAACACCAGUGGCGAAGGCGGCUCACUGGCCCGAAACUGACGCUGAGGCACGAAAGCGUGGGGAGCAAACA